RNAcentral lists this ribosomal RNA (1371 nucleotides) under uncultured bacterium. RNAcentral describes it as "bacterial SSU rRNA". It matches the Rfam family "Bacterial small subunit ribosomal RNA", at positions 28 to 1381 of the family's 1533-position model. The record is from RNAcentral.
GAUGAACGCUGGCGGCGUGCCUAAUACAUGCAAGUCGAGCGAACGGACGAGAAGCUUGCUUCUCUGAUGUUAGCGGCGGACGGGUGAGUAACACGUGGAUAACCUACCUAUAAGACUGGGAUAACUUCGGGAAACCGGAGCUAAUACCGGAUAAUAUUUUGAACCGCAUGGUUCAAAAGUAAAAGACGGUCUUGCUGUCACUUAUAGAUGGAUCCGCGCUGCAUUAGCUAGUUGGUAAGGUAACGGCUUACCAAGGCAACGAUGCAUAGCCGACCUGAGAGGGUGAUCGGCCACACUGGAACUGAGACACGGUCCAGACUCCUACGGGAGGCAGCAGUAGGGAAUCUUCCGCAAUGGGCGAAAGCCUGACGGAGCAACGCCGCGUGAGUGAUGAAGGUCUUCGGAUCGUAAAACUCUGUUAUUAGGGAAGAAUAUAUGUGUAAGUAACUGUGCACAUCUUGACGGUACCUAAUCAGAAAGCCACGGCUAACUACGUGCCAGCAGCCGCGGUAAUACGUAGGUGGCAAGCGUUAUCCGGAAUUAUUGGGCGUAAAGCGCGCGUAGGCGGUUUUUUAGUCUGAUGUGAAAGCCCACGGCUCAACCGUGGAGGGUCAUUGGAAACUGGAAAACUUGAGUGCAGAAGAGGAAAGUGGAAUUCCAUGUGUAGCGGUGAAAUGCGCAGAGAUAUGGAGGAACACCAGUGGCGAAGGCGACUUUCUGGUCUGUAACUGACGCCGAUGUGCGAAAGCGUGGGGAUCAAACAGGAUUAGAUACCCUGGUAGUCCACGCCGUAAACGAUGAGUGCUAAGUGUUAGGGGGUUUCCGCCCCUUAGUGCUGCAGCUAACGCAUUAAGCACUCCGCCUGGGGAGUACGACCGCAAGGUUGAAACUCAAAGGAAUUGACGGGGACCCGCACAAGCGGUGGAGCAUGUGGUUUAAUUCGAAGCAACGCGAAGAACCUUACCAAAUCUUGACAUCCUUUGACAACUCUAGAGAUAGAGCCUUCCCCUUCGGGGGACAAAGUGACAGGUGGUGCAUGGUUGUCGUCAGCUCGUGUCGUGAGAUGUUGGGUUAAGUCCCGCAACGAGCGCAACCCUUAAGCUUAGUUGCCAUCAUUAAGUUGGGCACUCUAAGUUGACUGCCGGUGACAAACCGGAGGAAGGUGGGGAUGACGUCAAAUCAUCAUGCCCCUUAUGAUUUGGACUACACACGUGCUACAAUGGACAAUACAAAGGGCAGCGAAACCGCGAGGUCAAGCAAAUCCCAUAAAGUUGUUCUCAGUUCGGAUUGUAGUCUGCAACUCGACUACAUGAAGCUGGAAUCGCUAGUAAUCGUAGAUCAGCAUGCUACGGUGAAUACGUUCCCGGGUCU